GAUGAAGAACGUAGCGAAAUGCGAUACGUAAUGUGAAUUGCAGAAUUCAGUGAAUCAUCGAAUCUUUGAACGCAUAUUGCGCUCUCUGGUAUUCCGGAGAGCAUGCUUGUUUGAGUAUCAGUAAACACCUCAACUUCCAUAUCUUUUUUGAAAUGGGAGUUGGACUUGAGUGAUCCCAACGCUUUUCCUCACCGAAAAGUGGCGGGUUACUUGAAAUGCAGGUGCAGCUGGACUUUUCUCUGAGCUAUAAGCAUAUCUAUUUAGUCUGCCUAAAAAACAGAUUAUUACCUUUGCUGCAGCUAACAUAAAGGAGAUUAGUUCUCGUGCUGACUGAUGCAGGAUUCACAAAGACGGCUUCGGCCGACUUUGUAAACUCGAUCUCAAAUCAAGUAAGACUACCCGCUGAACUUAAGCAUAUCAAUAAGCGGAGGA
RNAcentral lists this unclassified non-coding RNA (432 nucleotides) under soil metagenome. RNAcentral describes it as "partial contains 5.8S ribosomal RNA, internal transcribed spacer 2, and large subunit ribosomal RNA". The stretch from base 1 to 120 matches the Rfam family "5.8S ribosomal RNA", at positions 35 to 154 of the family's 154-position model. The record is from RNAcentral.